CUUGAUCGAGCCGAGCCAUAGCGGCUGAUCGGACGUGUGGUCCUGCCCGUACGUGUUCAGCAGAGCCUGCGCCUC
Molecule: antisense RNA, 75 nt
Filed under: Streptomyces sp. TSRI0107
Lineage: Bacteria; Bacillati; Actinomycetota; Actinomycetes; Kitasatosporales; Streptomycetaceae
Description: ASpks sRNA
Rfam family: ASpks TB sRNA
Source: RNAcentral